Callithrix jacchus (white-tufted-ear marmoset) is the source of this 1908-nucleotide non-coding RNA. Lineage: Eukaryota; Metazoa; Chordata; Mammalia; Primates; Cebidae. The record is from RefSeq and is a predicted model, not a curated record.
UGGCCAGGCUGGUCUAGAACACCUGACCUCAAGUGAUCCACCUGCCUCAGCCUCUCAAAGUUCUGGGAUUACAGGUGUGAGCCAUUGUGCUGGGCCUUAAUUUAUUUUGAACACAUUUUCAGAAUUCCUAAAAAAAUUCAGCGGGACUCAAAAUUGCCUACAUUUUAAAUAUAAGAAUUUAUAAACUGCUAGUUUCUAAGUAUCAUGUCUGCAAGUCAGGAUUCCCGAUCCAGAGACAAUGGCCUUGAUGGGAUGGGGCCUGAAGGCGUCAUCGAGAGUAACUGGAAUGAGAUUGUUGACAACUUUGAUGACAUGAACCUCUCAGAGUCCCUUCUCUGGUUUUGAGAAGCCUUCUGCCAUCCAGCAGCGAGCCAUUCUACCUUGUAUCAAGGGUUAUGAUGUGAUCGCUCAAGCCCAAUUUGGGACUGGGAAAAUGGCCACAUUUGCCAUAUCGAUUUUGCAGCAGAUUGAAUUAGAUCUAAAGGCCACCCAGGCCUUGGUUCUAGCACUCACUUGAGAAUUGACCCAGCAGGUACAGAAGGUGGUCAUGGCACUAGGAGACUACAUGGGUGCCUCCUAUCACGCCUGUACUGGGGGGCACCAACAUGCGUGCUGAGGUGCAAAACUGCAGAUGGAAGCUCCCCAUAUCAUUGUAGGAACCCCUGGCCAUGUGUUCGAUAUGUUUAAUCGGAGAUACUUGUCUCCCAAAUACAUCAAGAUGUUUGUAUUGGACGAAGCUGAUGAAAUGUUAAGCCGUGGAUUCAAGGACCAGAUAUAUGACAUAUUCCAAAAGCUCAACAGCAGCACCCAGGUAGUUUUGUUGUCAGCUACGAUGCCUUCUCAUGUGCUUGAGGUGACUAAGAAGUUCAUGAGGGACCCCAUUCGGAUUCUUGUCAAGAAGGAAGAGUAUCUGCCCUGGAGGGUAUCUGCCAAUUCAACAUCAACAUGGAAUGAGAGGAGUGGAAGCUGGACACACUGUAUGACUUGUAUGAAACCCUGAUCAUCACUCAGGCAGUCAUCUUCAUUAACACCCGAAGGAAGGUGGACUGGCUCACUGAGAAGAUAAAUGCUCGAUAUUUCACUGUCUCUGCCAUGCAUGGAGAUGUGAUCAUGAGGGAGUUUUGUUCUGGCUCUAGUAGAGUUUUGAUUACCACUGACCUGCUGGCCAGAGGCAUUGAUAUGCAGCAGGUUUCUGUAGUCAUCAACUAUGACCUUGCCACCAACAGGGAAAACUAUAUCCACAGAAUAGGUCGAGGUGGAUGGUUUGGCUGUAAGGGUAUGGCUAUUAACAUGGUGACAGAAGAAGACACAUGGACUCUUUGAGACAUAGAGACCUUCUACAACACCUCCACUGAGGAAAUACCCCUCCAUGUUGCUGACCUCAUCUGAGGAGCUGUCCUUUCACCUAGCCUUAGCCCCAGCCAGAGUUCAGUCUUGGGGGGCUGAGGGAGCAGCUGGAGAGGGGAGGGAAGGGAGCCAAGGGAUGGACAUCUUGUCAUUUUUUUUUCUUUGAAUAAAUAUCACUUUUUGAGGCAAAAGAAGGAACCGUGAACAUUUUAGACACCCUUUUCUUUGGGGUAGGCUCUUGUCCCAGGCACCAGCUCUUCUCCAAAAAACGCUAAUCCAUUUACCUAACCUAGUAACCUCCAGAUCCCAGAGGCUCUCCUCACCUCAGCCGAGCUCCUUUGAAAGUGAUUCAAGGGACUAUGUCACUCAGCCUCAUUUGCUGGACCAAAUCUAGAGGGAGAACCACUAAAAGCCCUGAGUAAGGUUGCCCAGGGGAUUGUCCCCAGGUGGGGGGAAGCAGGGGAGAGAAAAUGGUAGCCAUUUUUACAUUGUUUUGUAUAGUAUUUAUUGAUUCAGGAAACAAACACAAAAUUCUGAAUGAAAUGACUUGGAAACUGCCAA